UAAAGAACGACUCUCGGCAACGGAUAUCUCGGCUCUCGCAUCGAUGAAGAACGUAGCGAAAUGCGAUACUUGGUGUGAAUUGCAGAAUCCCGUGAACCAUCGAGUCUUUGAACGCAAGUUGCGCCCCAAACCUUCGGGUCGAGGGCACGUCUGCCUGGGUGUCACGC
RNAcentral lists this ribosomal RNA (167 nucleotides) under Wikstroemia indica. RNAcentral's name for it is "5.8S ribosomal RNA". It matches the Rfam family "5.8S ribosomal RNA". Rfam says of the family: 5.8S ribosomal RNA (5.8S rRNA) is a component of the large subunit of the eukaryotic ribosome. It is transcribed by RNA polymerase I as part of the 45S precursor that also contains 18S and 28S rRNA. The record is from RNAcentral. Lineage: Eukaryota; Viridiplantae; Streptophyta; Magnoliopsida; Malvales; Thymelaeaceae.